Molecule: ribosomal RNA, 533 nt
Filed under: uncultured bacterium
Lineage: Bacteria
Description: bacterial SSU rRNA
Rfam family: Bacterial small subunit ribosomal RNA
Source: RNAcentral
UAGUCCACGCCGUAAACGAUGGUUACUAGCUGUUCGGUACUUGUACUGAGUGGCUAAGCGAAAGUGAUAAGUAACCCACCUGGGGAGUACGUUCGCAAGAAUGAAACUCAAAGGAAUUGACGGGGGCCCGCACAAGCGGUGGAGCAUGUGGUUUAAUUCGAUGAUACGCGAGGAACCUUACCAGGGCUUAAAUGUAGUGGGACAGGUGUGGAAACACGCCCUUCUUCGGACUCAUUACAAGGUGCUGCAUGGUUGUCGUCAGCUCGUGCCGUGAGGUGUCAGGUUAAGUCCUAUAACGAGCGCAACCCCUGUUGUUAGUUGCCAGCACAUUAUGGUGGGAACUCUAACAAGACUGCCGGUGCAAACCGUGAGGAAGGUGGGGAUGACGUCAAAUCAUCACGGGCCCUUACGUCCUGGGGCUACACACGUGCUACAAUGGGCCGGUACAAAGGGGCUGGCAAACCAGCAAUGGGUAAGCGAAUCCCAAAAAACCAUCGUAGUCCGGGAUUGGGGGUCUGGCAACUCGACCCCAU